CAGCCGCCGCGGGAAAACGUAGGUGGCAAGCGUUGUCCGGAAUUAUUGGGCGUAAAGGGCUCGCAGGCGGUUUCUUAAGUCUGAUGUGAAAGCCCCCGGCUCAACCGGGGAGGGUCAUUGGAAACUGGGAAACUUGAGUGCAGAAGAGGAGAGUGGAAUCCACGUGUAGCGGUGAAAUGCGUAGAGAUGUGGAGGAACACCAGUGGCGAAGGCGAUCACCUGGGGUUGUACUGACGCUGAGGAGCGAAAGCUAGGGGAGCAAACGGGAUUAGAUACCCCAGUAGUCCCUGUCUCUUAUACC
RNAcentral lists this ribosomal RNA (301 nucleotides) under uncultured bacterium. RNAcentral describes it as "partial 16S ribosomal RNA". It matches the Rfam family "Bacterial small subunit ribosomal RNA", at positions 509 to 808 of the family's 1533-position model. The record is from RNAcentral.